Molecule: ribosomal RNA, 433 nt
Filed under: uncultured bacterium
Lineage: Bacteria
Description: partial 16S ribosomal RNA
Rfam family: Bacterial small subunit ribosomal RNA
Source: RNAcentral
AACGAACGCUGGCGGCAUGCCUAACACAUGCAAGUCGAACGAGACCUUCGGGUCUAGUGGCGCACGGGUGCGUAACGCGUGGGAACCUGCCCUUAGGUUCGGAAUAACUCCCCGAAAGGGGUGCUAAUACCGGAUAAUGUCUUCGGACCAAAGAUUUAUCGCCUUUGGAUGGGCCCGCGUUGGAUUAGCUAGUUGGUAGGGUAAAAGCCUACCAAGGCGACGAUCCAUAGCUGGUCUGAGAGGAUGGUCAGCCACACUGGGACUGAGACACGGCUCAGACUCCUACGGGAAGCAGCAGUGGGGAAUAUUGGACAAUGGGCGAAAGCCUGAUCCAGCAAUGCCGCGUGAGUGAUGAAGGCCUUAGGGUUGUAAAGCUCUUUUACCCGGGAUGAUAAUGACAGUACCGGGAGAAUAAGCUCCGGCUAACUCCGUG